Molecule: long non-coding RNA, 390 nt
Filed under: Notechis scutatus (mainland tiger snake)
Lineage: Eukaryota; Metazoa; Chordata; Lepidosauria; Squamata; Elapidae
Description: lncRNA (ENSNSUG00000006871.1)
Source: RNAcentral
CCAAUCGCUUUCGUCGACGGUUUUGCCUUCAUGGGGGCAUUUUGGAGGGGCGCGCGAGGGAAGCGGGCGUUGGAAGUUGCUCCGGCGGCUGACUGAGUACAGGUGUAUUUUGCUGUGUGUGGAAAAUUGUCAAGUCAAGAGCGAAAAGUACUCUGAAAGUAUCAGUUAAGAUGUGCGAGGCCUAAAAAACAUACUUUGGCAUACCUGUCAGUGAUCAAGACAAGCCCUGGGUAGUUCAUUUCACAUGCAAACACUGCACGAAAACUCUUGAAGACUGGUGCAGGGAAAAAAGAGCCAUGAAGUUUGUUAUCCCAAGAAUUUGGCAGGAACCAACUGACCACUCGAGCAACUGCUACUUCGGCGUGGUAGACCCUUCCAAACAUUGAACUG